UUUUUAUUGAGAGUUUGAUCCUGGCUCAGGACGAACGCUGGCGGCGUGCCUAACACAUGCAAGUCGAGCGAUGAAGUUUCCUUCGGGAAACGGAUUAGCGGCGGACGGGUGAGUAACACGUGGGUAACCUGCCCCAUAGAGGGGAAUAGCCUUCCGAAAGGAAGAUUAAUACCGCCUAACAUUGCAG
This 187-nucleotide ribosomal RNA is filed under the name Clostridium baratii. Its description in RNAcentral is "partial 16S ribosomal RNA". It matches the Rfam family "Bacterial small subunit ribosomal RNA", at positions 1 to 184 of the family's 1533-position model. The record is from RNAcentral. Lineage: Bacteria; Bacillati; Bacillota; Clostridia; Eubacteriales; Clostridiaceae.